UUCUUCCUGAUGUAAAUAACUACUACAAUGUCACUAAUCAGAAAGGCUGGGGACUGUCUUUAUUUCGUGAAAUGAUCAAAUUCAGGGGCAUUUUGAUAAUUGUUUGUUCAUUUUUUUUCCUUGGUAGAUUGUACCACAGAAAAUAAAACAAUUUUUUGGGGUGUUUUAUUGGAAUUUUCUUCUGUAAAUGUGCGCGAUUUUCUAAGUUCAACUUUGAAAGUGCAAGAUAGUUGUGAUAAGAGUUUCAUUUCGAAAUAAGAAAAAUGCAUCAUGGAAUUUUUUGAAUGGAUGAUCAAUCAGAUUAGAAAUCAUUCUUAACUAGCGAUUUCCUCUAGUCUUCAUUGUCAAAUCAUAACAUAAGUAUUUCUAUGUUAAAAACUUUUCUUCAAUUUUAAAUCAAAAGCUGAAACUAAAAUUUGAAAUAUAAACUUACUAUUUUCAUUAACAUCUUGUUUUUCUCGUCUUCUCUGUUAUAAUGUUCAUUUACCUUUCGCCCAAAAGAAAAAAAGGCUAAAAAUUCAUUUUCCACAAAAGCUACAAUGAAAUGUUUGGACCAAAAAAAAAAAAUGCUGCCCUGGUCCUCUUUCUGGCUGUCAUACUAUUCAGCCAUUCUUGAUUUCUUUGACUGAUUUUAAGGCCGGUAAAUCUGUUUGGGUUCCUAUUAUUUUCAUCUUGUACCUGAUACUUAUGAUUCAAUUAUUUUCUUAGAUUUGGAGUAGGCACCCAACUCCCACCCCUCUCCAAAAAAAACCUUCAUGCAUAAGAAGUUAUAUAUCCAUAACUGUUAGGCAAAUUAUAGUUCCUGUCGUAUUAGAAAUACUCUGGAUAUUUGUUGCCAAUGAUAAUAUUUCAUGAAAUUAUGCAAAUCCGUUUUUUCUGCUUCUCAUAUGCUUAUGCUUGACAUCACCAGUUUCUGUCCUGUGUCAUUUUUUUUCCUUUUAACCUGUGUACCACAUAUUGUUCUGAUCCUUUUGUAGUUUUCCAGCAUUGUCCUGUGAAUUUGCAUCCAUCGAUGUCAGUGACAUCUUGGGAACAGUGAGUUUUUUUCAUUCACUUCUUUUGGGUGUUAAUUCAGAAGUUAUCCUAAUUACCAAACGUGCUUGGGGAAUGAUAUUGUUGACUUUAGGAUGAAUAAACUUUCUCAGUGCUUGAUCUAUUACUACCAGUACUAGGGGCAGAUCCAGCACCGGCGAGCUGGGAACUGCCGCCCGUGCUGGAUCAGCCGAGAAAAAAGAUUAAUUAAGAUUUAUAUAAAAUAUGUGUGUGUGUGUGUGUGUGUGUACAACAUUUACUGUAAUGGCGUGUAGAUCAUAUGGAAGAGUGUUUACCUUUCCAUGUGAGAUACCUUGGUUCGAUU
RNAcentral lists this long non-coding RNA (1357 nucleotides) under Olea europaea subsp. europaea. The record is from RNAcentral. Lineage: Eukaryota; Viridiplantae; Streptophyta; Magnoliopsida; Lamiales; Oleaceae.